RNAcentral lists this ribosomal RNA (449 nucleotides) under uncultured prokaryote. RNAcentral's name for it is "bacterial SSU rRNA". It matches the Rfam family "Bacterial small subunit ribosomal RNA", at positions 355 to 796 of the family's 1533-position model. The record is from RNAcentral.
UGGGGAAUAUUGUACAAUGGGGGCAACCCUGAUCCAGCCAUGCCGCGUGUGUGAAGAAGGCCCUCGGGUUGUAAAGCACUUUAAGCAGUGAGGAAGGCUGUGAGGUUACUACCCUUGCAGAUUGACGUUAACUGCAGAAUAAGCACCGGCUAACUCCGUGCCAGCAGCCGCGGUAAUACGGAGGGUGCAAGCGUUUAUCGGAAUUACUGGGCGUAAAGCGCGCGUAGGCGGUUUGUUAAGUGAGAUGUGACAGCCCAGGGCUCAACCUUGGAACUGCAUCUCAUACUGGCAGGCUAGAGUACGGUAGAGGGGGGUAGAAUUCCACGUGUAGCGGUGAAAUGCGUAGAGAUGUGGAGGAAUACCAGUGGCGAAGGCGGCCCCCUGGAUCGAUCCUGACGCUGAGGUGCGAAAGCGUGGGGAGCAAACAGGAUUAGAUACCCCGGUAGUCC